CAAGCUCGAAUGAUAAUUACAAGUGCAUAGUUCAGAUGACCAAACUGUGAUUACUUGAACAAAAUAGUCUUGCACUCCUAGCUGAUAUGUGCUGA
This is a non-coding RNA of Hordeum vulgare subsp. vulgare (domesticated barley), 95 nucleotides long. The record is from Rfam. Lineage: Eukaryota; Viridiplantae; Streptophyta; Magnoliopsida; Poales; Poaceae.